Molecule: ribosomal RNA, 514 nt
Filed under: uncultured Roseibacillus sp.
Lineage: Bacteria; Pseudomonadati; Verrucomicrobiota; Verrucomicrobiia; Verrucomicrobiales; Verrucomicrobiaceae
Description: bacterial SSU rRNA
Rfam family: Bacterial small subunit ribosomal RNA
Source: RNAcentral
UAGCUUGCUAAUGAAAUUCUUAGUGGCGGACGGGUUAGUAACACGUGAGAAUCCUACCCUUGAGUGGGGAAUAGCCUUUCGAAAGGAAGAUUAAUGCCCCAUAGUCUCUACGGAGUAAAGAUGCCUUCGGGUGUCGCUUAAGGAUGGGCUCGCGGCCUAUCAGCUAGUUGGUGAGGUAAGAGCUCACCAAGGCAACGACGGGUAGCUGGUCUGAGAGGACGAUCAGCAACACUGGAACUGAGACACGGUCCAGACACCUACGGGUGGCAGCAGUCGAGAAUCAUUCACAAUGGACGAAAGUCUGAUGGUGCAACGCCGCGUGGAGGAUGACGGCCCUAGGGUUGUAAACUCCUGUCAUCAGGGAGUAAGACUUAUUCGUUAAUAGCGUGUAAGUUUGAUAGUACCUGAAGAGGAAGGGACGGCUAACUUCGUGCCAGCAGCCGCGGUAAUACGAAGGUCCCAAGCGUUGUUCGGAAUAACUGGGCGUAAAGCGUGUGUAGGCCGCGCGGAAAGU